CUGUGACACUCUGGAACGGUUUAUAUUUCUGACUCUAUUUUUCUGCCUCUUUCACAGAUGUGCAGUUUCUGCCAUGUGUGUCCUGUGUGCCAAACCCUUUGCCAGCCUGGGGGUUUUCUUGAUGAAGUGACUGGAUCAAUCUACAAGACUGUAGCUGAUGUCUUCGAUGAUGAUGAUGACAACUGAACCCAACCAUAUGUUGCCACCAUGUGGCCAAACUAAUAGGUUUCACCUUCACUUCUGAUUUUCAUUGUUAUUUUUGUCUUUUCCUUGAGAACAUUAAACAUUUCCUCACCAAUGACUGAAUAGAAAUUGUUGUGUUGAAUAACUUAAUAUAUUUGUGUACUGUUGUUAACUGACAGGUCUACGUUGUACGAAAUAUUUGAAGUCAUAUUUGGGAUAUGUUAAAUAAAAAAGAGGGGACAUUUCCACUGA
Morone saxatilis (striped sea-bass) is the source of this 435-nucleotide long non-coding RNA. RefSeq lists it as uncharacterized. NCBI's taxonomy places the organism in Eukaryota, Metazoa, Chordata, Actinopteri, Moronidae. The record is from RefSeq and is a predicted model, not a curated record. The transcript has 3 exons.